AUGGCCUUGCAAAAAAUGUUAUGCGUACCAUACGUUAUACAGCGGAGACAUCUUAUCAGCAGGAAUUAUGCUCUAAUAAGGACUGCUGCUAUGUGCCUGCGUGUCUUGGAUUUGAAUGACAGAUCGAUGCUGAACUUACCAAAUUCUAUCUGUCAGUUGAGGCAUUUGGGAUAUCUUAAUUUAUCAGGCUGCUCUGGACUAGUUAUUAUACCGGACUCACUUGGAGAUCUACUAAAUUUGUUGUAUAUUAAUUUGUCAGGCUGCUCUGUACUAAUACAUCUACCUGAAUCAUUUGGGAAGCUAAUAAGUUUGGCGUAUAUCGACUUAUCGGGUUGCUCUGGACUAGUAAAUCUAUCGGAAUCAUUUGGGAAGCUGACAAAUUUGUUGCAUAUUGACUUAUCAAGAUGCUAUGGACUUGUAAAUUUGCCAGAUUCAUUUGGGAAGCUGACUAGUUUGAAGCAUACCGAUUUAUCAGGCUGCUCUGGAUUAGAAAAACUGCCACAAUCAUUAUGUAAGCUAAUAAAUUUGGUGCACAUCAACUUAUCAUGGUGCUCUGGAUUAGUUAGUCUGCCUCUCUCGUUUGGGAAGCUAAUAUGUUUGCUGCACAUGAACCUAUCAGGCUGCUCUGGAUUGGUAAACUUACCGGAAUCAAUUGGCAAUCUCAAAAUUUUGGUCCACAUCAACUUGUCAGGUUGCUGCGGGCUAUUAAAUCUACCUGAGUCAUUUGGGAAUUUAAUAAAUUUGUUGCACAUUGACUUAUCAUGUUGCCAUGGACUAGGUAACCUGCCAGAAUCAUUUGGGAAGCUAGAGAAUUUGGCACACCUAGAUUUAUCAUUCUGGUCUUGUUUUGAAGGGGUCGAGAAAGCUCUUGGCGGGCUUACCAAUCUCCAGCACUUGAACUUGUCAAACCGUUGCUGUUAUCUUGCUCAACAGCAGUCGUGUCUCGAAGGGCUAAAAGAUGUUUUGGGCCAGCUCACCAAAAUAAAGUAUUUGAACCUAUCCAUGUUCCUGAAUCCUAUCUUUUACUCACAGUCAGUAGAGCGAACUCAUGAAUUUAUGGAAUGCAUCAGUGGCUUUUCCAGUUUGGAGCAUUUGGAUUUAUCUCAUAAUAGAUUUCUCCGUGAUCUUCCUGAAAGUUUAGGUGAACUCAACAAUCUGCAAACACUGGACCUCUCAGGUUGCAUUAGACUGAAGAGCAUACCCAAAAGGAUAGGUGAAAUCAGGUCUCUUAAGUCAAUAAAUGUGAGGAACUGCCGCAGUUUGAAAAGUUGUCAGCUUGUGGUUAAAGCUGAUAAUGGAGAAUAUAAUAUCAGAAACAUUGCUCAGCUCGAGGAUGCAAACUUGGAAGAGCUUGAGAUAAGCUGUCUUGAAAACGUGAAGACUAGAAAAGAUGCGGGGCAAAUAAGAAUGGCACUGGAAGGAAGGACUCAAAAGUUGAAACUUUGCUGGACUGUGGGCUCCCAAGUAUCCAUGGAGGACAAUACCCUGUUAGGAAAAUUAUUGCCAGCACAUCUGCAGUGCCUUGAGCUACAUGGUUAUAGUGACGAGACCCGCCUUUCAGCCUGGUUGACAGCAACCAUAUCUUAUCAUUUUGAUACUCUUGUAGAGGUUACCAUUGAGGACUUCCCGAGGUGCAGCCAGCCACCACCACUAUUAUUGUUAUAUAACCUCCGACGAGCAGUUUUCAGAAGGAUGGCUAGCAUCACAAGAUUUGACAUCAAUGACCUCACCGGUGAAUACCGAACAACACUCAAUCAACUCCCCAAGUUGACCCUAGAGUUGGAUGAUAUGGAAAGCCUGGAAGAGUUCAAGACAACAUACGACAGAAAUGGUAAGGAGUGUAUGCUCCCGGCCAUUGGUGAACUGGUGAUUACGAAAUGUAACAAGGUGUGCUUCAUACCUUUCACGCCUAGAGCUUGGAAAUUGGUGAUCUCAGAGUGCAGCAAACUAAUGGUCCAUUCCAGAGGAGGGCACCCUUGUACCUCUGUUUCAGUAAAUGAACUGGUGGUGAAGAACUGCAAGAAAACUCUAUAUAACUGGCAUUUGCUUCACAGCCUCCCAGGCCUCCGUAGUUUAACUGUCAAAGAUUGCGACAAUCUGUGGACUAUACCAGAUACUAUUGAGGCCCUAUCCUCCCUCCAAUCUCUAUGCUUGUCCAAUUGCCGGGUGGACAAAGUACAACACUUGGCUGACCUCACCUGUCUCCGGGAACUGAAGAUUGUGUCCUGCGAAGGGAUCGAUGGGUUCAUGCAGAGUUUGCAAGGACUCACCUCCCAUGGGUCGAUGCAUCUUAGUGACUGCGACAGUAUCACAUCACUGCCGGAAUGGUUAGGAGAUCUCACCAAUCUUGAGAAGCUUGCCAUCCACAGAUGCCCUGCCAUGGAAUCUUUGCCGGGCAGCAUAAAUAAACUAACCAACCUGAAGGAUCUGCGUAUUUUGGAUUGUCCAAAAUUGAAGAGCUGGUGUGAAAGGAGGGAGAACAAGAAAAGAAUGGCUCACAUCCGACCAGACUAUGAAGAACAAGGUACUAGCAGGCCAGGCAGCAACGACGAGGGCAAUGUGGAGGGUGAAUUGGAGAAGGACUGGCCGGACGUCGUGGAGGAGGAGGACUGGCCGGACGUCGUGGAGGACUGGUCGGACGUUGUGGAGGAGGAGGAGCCAGAGGCAGUAUCGACGGAUGCAGUGGAGAAUUCAGUGAUGACAGACAACACAGGUGUUGUAGAGGAGGUGACGAGGGAUGUGGACGCAGCAGUGGCAGCUGAUGUAUGCUUGGAGUUGCGAUUGGGACUGCCCAUAAAUGAAGAAGCGGUCCGUAUCGAAGAAGAAGAAGAUGAAAUUUCUCUACGACUGUAUUUAUAA
This 2859-nucleotide ribosomal RNA is filed under the name Triticum aestivum (bread wheat). RNAcentral's name for it is "partial small subunit ribosomal RNA". The record is from RNAcentral. Lineage: Eukaryota; Viridiplantae; Streptophyta; Magnoliopsida; Poales; Poaceae.